AGAAGACAAGAACUUGAAAUCAUCAUUGGUGGAGGUGGCUAUGGUCCUGCUCCUGCUCCUGAAUAUUGCCCUCCUCCUCCUCCCCCUCCUGAACCCAUAUGUCCAACUCCUCCGCCUCCUCCCCCUCCUGAACCCAUAUGUCCGCCUCCUCCCCCUCCUCCGUCUCCUCCGUCUCCUCCGCCUCCUCCGACUCCUCCCCCUCCUGAACCCAUAUGUCCGCCUCCUCCCCCUCCUCCGUCUCCUCCGUCUCCUCCGCCUCCUCCGCCUCCUCCGCCUCCUCCGCCUCCUCCGCCUCCUCCGCCUCCCU
RNAcentral lists this long non-coding RNA (307 nucleotides) under Citrus maxima (pomelo). RNAcentral describes it as "long non-coding RNA (CMAX_LNC003294)". The record is from RNAcentral. Lineage: Eukaryota; Viridiplantae; Streptophyta; Magnoliopsida; Sapindales; Rutaceae.